GACGAACGCUGGCGGCGUGCUUAACACAUGCAAGUCGAACGGUAAGGCCCUUCGGGGUACACGAGUGGCGAACGGGUGAGUAACACGUGGGUGAUCUGCCCUGCACUUCGGGAUAAGCCUGGGAAACUGGGUCUAAUACCGGAUAGGACUCCGGACUGCAUGGUCUGGGGUGGAAAGCUUUUGCGGGGUGGGCUGGGCCCGCGGCCAAUAAGGUUGUUGGUGGGGUGAUGGCCUACCAAGGCGACGACGGGUAGCCGGCCUGGGAGGGUGACCGGCCACACUGGGACUGAGAUACGGCCCAGACUCCUACGGGAGGCAGCAGUGGGGAAUAUUGCACAAUGGGCGCAAGCCUGAUGCAGCGACGCCGCGUGAGGGAUGACGGCCUUCGGGUUGUAAACCUCUUUCAGCAUCGACGAAGCGAAAGUGACGGUAGGUGCAGAAGAAGGACCGGCCAACUACGUGCCAGCCGCCGCCGUAA
This 478-nucleotide ribosomal RNA is filed under the name uncultured bacterium. Its description in RNAcentral is "partial 16S ribosomal RNA". It matches the Rfam family "Bacterial small subunit ribosomal RNA", at positions 28 to 523 of the family's 1533-position model. The record is from RNAcentral.